Molecule: ribosomal RNA, 255 nt
Filed under: Triticum aestivum (bread wheat)
Lineage: Eukaryota; Viridiplantae; Streptophyta; Magnoliopsida; Poales; Poaceae
Description: partial small subunit ribosomal RNA
Source: RNAcentral
AUGACGUCGCGCCACCGGCGGCAGCCGUCGCGGGCGCUGCCUCUCGACUUCGACGUCGGCGACGAGCCUGCGGCGGCCGCAUCCAAGGGCGCGGCGUCGACGCAUGGACCCGCUGGCGGCCGGAGCGAUGCUGCCAAAGCAGGGCAGGUAGGCGAAGGCCAGGGCAAGAAGCUGCCUCCGGCCACCGGCGGCGGCCGCAUGCCGGCGCCGGAGGGGGCUGGGAAGGGGCACUGCGACGGCAACGAUGGCCGCUAG